RNAcentral lists this ribosomal RNA (492 nucleotides) under uncultured bacterium. RNAcentral's name for it is "partial 16S ribosomal RNA". It matches the Rfam family "Bacterial small subunit ribosomal RNA", at positions 29 to 507 of the family's 1533-position model. The record is from RNAcentral.
AGUGAACGCUGGCGGUAUGCCUAACACAUGCAAGUCGAACGGCAGCACAGUAAGAGCUUGCUCUUACGGUUGGCGAGUGGCGGACGGUUGAGGAAUACAUCGGAAUCUACUUUUUCUUGGGGGAUAACGUAGGGAAACUUACGCUAAUACCGCAUACGACCUACGGGUGAAAGCAGGGGAUCUUCGGACCUUGCGCGAUUGAAUGAGCCGAUGUCGGAUUAGCUAGUUGGCGGGGUAAAGGCCCACCAAGGCGACGAUCCGUAGCUGGUCUGAGAGGAUGAUCAGCCACACUGGAACUGAGACACGGUCCAGACUCCUACGGGAGGCAGCAGUGGGGAAUAUUGGACAAUGGGCGAAAGCCUGAUCCAGCAAUACCGCGUGGGUGAAGAAGGCCUUCGGGUUGUAAAGCCCUUUUGUUGGGAAAGAAAAGCAGCAGGUUAAUACCCCGCUGUUCUGACGGUACCCAAAGAAUAAGCACCGGCUAACUUCGUG